AUGCUACUAGUUUAGUGGUAAAAUUCGUCCUUGCCAUGGAUGAGAUCUGGGUUCGAUUCCCAGGUAGCAUA
RNAcentral lists this transfer RNA (71 nucleotides) under Cryptomonas curvata. RNAcentral describes it as "tRNA-Gly". It matches the Rfam family "tRNA". From Rfam's summary of the family: Transfer RNA (tRNA) molecules are approximately 80 nucleotides in length. Their secondary structure includes four short double-helical elements and three loops (D, anti-codon, and T loops). Further hydrogen bonds mediate the characteristic L-shaped molecular structure. tRNAs have two regions of fundamental functional importance: the anti-codon, which is responsible for specific mRNA codon recognition, and the 3' end, to which the tRNAs corresponding amino acid is attached (by aminoacyl-tRNA synthetases). tRNAs cope with the degeneracy of the genetic code in two manners: having more than one tRNA (with a specific anti-codon) for a particular amino acid; and 'wobble' base-pairing, i.e. permitting non-standard base-pairing at the 3rd anti-codon position. The record is from RNAcentral. Lineage: Eukaryota; Cryptophyceae; Cryptomonadales; Cryptomonadaceae.